Long non-coding RNA from Nicrophorus vespilloides, 281 nucleotides. RefSeq lists it as uncharacterized. The transcript has 3 exons. The record is from RefSeq and is a predicted model, not a curated record. NCBI's taxonomy places the organism in Eukaryota, Metazoa, Arthropoda, Insecta, Coleoptera, Silphidae.
GCCGUUCCCUCGAAUACACACACCGUGCUGUCGCGAACAACAAAUACAUAUAUAUCUUUAUAUAUACAUACAUAUACAUGUUUACCACGAUCUUCCGUCACAUGAACGAAACGCAAAUCAAUUCGUAUCAAUCGCACAUACUUUCCUGCAAACGAUAACUCAAUCCGAGCAGACUACUUCUCGCUGAAAGGUCCCAGCAGGAUCGGCUGUGGUCCUGCUGUGCAGGUUUCCUCAACAACCACUGUGCGAUGUCGUUCCUAGCCACCCUGGAUUCCAACACU